Molecule: long non-coding RNA, 452 nt
Filed under: Polistes fuscatus (common paper wasp)
Lineage: Eukaryota; Metazoa; Arthropoda; Insecta; Hymenoptera; Vespidae
Description: uncharacterized LOC122525056, transcript variant X2
Source: RNAcentral
AACAACAGACAGUACACGUUCGCAAGCCGUGUAGUUCGACACGAGAAAACGAUCUUUUUGCUUGUGUAUCAAUCCUCGCGCAAAGUUAUACGAAGUUACAUUUCUACGACACGUGGGACGACGAUCCUCUUCGUCGUCUUCUCUUCUCGUCGUCGUAGUCGUAGUUGUCGUCGUGGGUUUCUAUAUAAAUCCUCGUGAACUCACUGGUUUCUCCGAGUAGUUCGCCAUCGGCAAACAGUUCGCACGGAUCAUUCUCUACGAGUAUAUAAGUGAUAUACAUACAUAUAUACAUACAAAUACUUCAUUUUGCGGUUUAUAUACGUGUGUUCCUCAUUGUAUAUUUGUGUGUAUCGUUUUAAUUAUAGUAUAGGUAUUUGAUAAAGUUUUUAAAAUUCGUGACAAUUAAACAACAAAAGUGAAGUGUUCGAAGGACAAAAAAUAUAAAAUAAAAA